AACGGCCAUGCCAUGCUGAAUAUACCGGUUCUCGUUAGAUCACCGAAGUCAAGCAUCAUUGGGCGCGGUCAGUACUUGGGUGGGUGACCACCUGGGAACACCGCGUGACGU
RNAcentral lists this ribosomal RNA (111 nucleotides) under Caerostris extrusa. Lineage: Eukaryota; Metazoa; Arthropoda; Arachnida; Araneae; Araneidae. The record is from RNAcentral.